This 497-nucleotide ribosomal RNA is filed under the name uncultured bacterium. RNAcentral describes it as "partial 16S ribosomal RNA". It matches the Rfam family "Bacterial small subunit ribosomal RNA", at positions 28 to 507 of the family's 1533-position model. The record is from RNAcentral.
GAUGAACGCUGGCGGCGUGCCUAAUACAUGCAAGUCGAGCGAACAGACGAGGAGCUUGCUCCUCUGACGUUAGCGGCGGACGGGUGAGUAACACGUGGAUAACCUACCUAUAAGACUGGGAUAACUUCGGGAAACCGGAUCUAAUACCGGAUAAUAUAUUGAACCGCAUGGUUCAAUAGUGAAAGACGGUUUUGCUGUCUCUUAUAGAUGGAUCCGCGCCGCAUUAGCUAGUUGGUAAGGUAACGGCUUACCAAGGCAACGAUGCGUAGCCGACCUGAGAGGGUGAUCGGCCACACGGGAACUGAGACACGGACAAGAGUCCUACGGGAGGCAGCAGUAGGGAAUCGUCCGCAAUGGGCGAAAGCCUGACGGAGCAACGCCGCGUGAGUGAUGAAGGUCUUCGGAUCGUAAAACUCUGUUAUUAGGGAAGAACAAAUGUGUAAGUAACUAUGCACGUCUUGACGGUACCUAAUCAGAAAGCAACGGCUAACUACGUG